Molecule: long non-coding RNA, 1644 nt
Filed under: Solanum pimpinellifolium
Lineage: Eukaryota; Viridiplantae; Streptophyta; Magnoliopsida; Solanales; Solanaceae
Description: long non-coding RNA (SPIM_LNC000002)
Source: RNAcentral
CCUUUGGAGACUUGUGCUACAGGACUUCCAUUUACCAACAAACCCUCAACCACUGCCUUGGAAUGGAGAGUAUUGUAGCCAAGAAACUCAGUAUCAGGGAUAUCUUCAGCAAGGUUUGCACCAUUUUCAACUGCUAGUUUAACUGUAUCAUGUGCUGCUUGGGAAAGCUGUCUUUGCUUCUCCAUUUCUAUGUCAAAGCUAUUCAUAUCUAUACUGAUUCCACGUUCUUCAGCAACUUCCUUUGUUAUCUCCACUGGAAAUCCAUAGGUGUCAUACAAUAUGAAAGCAUCCUUUCCCGACAGACAGGGUGCAGUCUCAGUUCCCUGAGAAUUUAACAAUGCAUCUGCCAGCAUCUGUUCAAGAAGUUUUUCUCCCCUCUCUAGAGUCAAGACAAAGCGAAGCUCUUCUCUUUUCAGUUCCUCAAAUAUGCGGGAUGAUCUUGUCUUCACAUCAGCAUCUAUAUUGGUGCUUAGUUCAAUCACUUUUUUGGCAAGUAGGGGCAAAAAUGCUCCUUGAAUAUCACCCAUUCCAUCUCCCUUCACACCAAGUAACCUGCCUGUUCGAACAACCCUUCUAAUGAGGCGACGUACCACAUAUCCCCUCCCAAUAUUUGAAGGGUUGACACCAUCAGAUAUCAGAUAAACAACUGCACGCAUGUGAUCUCCAAUUAUCUGGAUUGAUCAGAAUUAGAAGGCUUUCAACAUAUUAGAAGGUAAAUCACUUCACAAACAAAAGACUGGCAAAAAUACAACAAUUUUUCAGUUGCAACAUACUUUAAGCUUUGUUUUCGUAGAAUCAUCCGCAAGAGCAUAUGAGACAUUUGCCAAUUCUGCAGCCUUCUCUAUGAUGGGAAAUAUUAAGUCGGUUUCAUAAUUGUUGGGGACCUGUGAAAAAUGAAGAGAACCUCUAUGUUAAUCGAUCUUUUUGGUUGGUUGGGGGUGGGGUGGGGGUGGGAGGGGAGANGAUAAACUUUGAUUAGACCAGAUUUUCUGGAGACAACUGGUUUAAAAUCAACAAAAAUUGAAAUGCAAUAGUGAGGCUAACAUAGAUGAUUCAGGAAUCCAUGCAACCACAGAACCUCCCAUCAACUUUUCUUCUUUCCUCAAUAUGAUGCAUAUCCAUUCAAUUUUCACAUUAUACAGCAUAAUACCUUAGCUCGUUGUCUCAAGUUUGCAUCAACAGCUGCUUCUACUUCUUGGCCGACCUCUAUAGUACCUUCUGUAAUUGUCCCUUUGUGGACAAAUAUAUUACCCAUAGAUUUUUGGACAUCUUUUAUCUCUACAAUAGCUUUCUGUUCAUUUUCAGCCUCCGUCAUGUAUAGAAAACCGUUAUCCCCAAUUUGGCCUCCUGACUCGGCAUAAAAUGGAGUCCUGUUCAGCAAAAUUUCCACUUCACUUCCUUUGGAGACUUGUGCUACAGGACUUCCAUUUACCAACAAACCCUCAACCACUGCCUUGGAAUGGAGAGUAUUGUAGCCAAGAAACUCAGUAUCAGGGAUAUCUUCAGCAAGGUUUGCACCAUUUUCAACUGCUAGUUUAACUGUAUCAUGUGCUGCUUGGGAAAGCUGUCUUUGCUUCUCCAUUUCUAUGUCAAAGCUAUUCAUAUCUAUACUGAUUCCACGUUCUUCAGCAACUUCCUUUGUUA